Molecule: long non-coding RNA, 472 nt
Filed under: Homo sapiens (human)
Lineage: Eukaryota; Metazoa; Chordata; Mammalia; Primates; Hominidae
Description: non-protein coding lnc-UBE2W-1:4
Source: RNAcentral
AGUUCUCUGUAGUGUUUGCCAAUGUUGGAGCCGUCUGCAAAGUGUCCCCGGCAAGAAGAGGCUGCCUACCACAAGGACUUUAGCUUACUUUUUAAAGAUUGAAGAAAAAAAAGAAGACAGAAAAAGAAGAACUCAAAGAUACACAAAGUAAUUUGAACCAAGGCUCAGAAGUUUUUGGAGCCGUGAGGGAUACAGCAGUUUGGUCAAUAUUGUCUUAACAUGCUUCAAAUAAAUCAGCUUCUCUCCAAGAUAAAAUGGCAAACCCAAAAGAGAAAACUGCAAUGUGUCUGGUAAAUGAGUUAGCCCGUUUCAAUAGAGUCCAACCCCAGUAUAAACUUCUGAAUGAAAGAGGGCCUGCUCAUUCAAAGGCAGUAUAACUCCAACUGUGGAACUGAAUGGGCUUGCUAUGAAAAGGGGAGAGCCUGCCAUCUACAGGCCAUUAGAUCCAAAGCCAUUCCCAAAUUAUAGAGCU